Phascolarctos cinereus (koala) is the source of this 501-nucleotide non-coding RNA. Lineage: Eukaryota; Metazoa; Chordata; Mammalia; Diprotodontia; Phascolarctidae. The record is from RefSeq and is a predicted model, not a curated record.
GGCCAUUGGAACAAAUUGUCCUCAUCAGCCCAUUCUGCUGAGGUCUUCACAUGCUUGGAGUAGACUCCCUUGCCAAACUCAUCAAUGUAUUUGAGGCCUAACAGUUAUCUUCAACCUGGUUUAGCCCUUCUGGGGUGUGGCUGCUGUGCAUGUUACAGCUUGUGGAAGCCACAGGUUCCUUGCUAAUGAACAAACCAGGAAGCAUUUACGAAGCACCUAUAAUGUGCCAGGAAGGCAGAUUCCCUCCAUUUCUGGUCGCCAUUUGUAAGGUCAAGAAUGUCAAGAGAGAAGAUGGACGAUGUCAACCCCACUUCCGGUUUCUGAAGGAAAAGAGUCUGGAAAGAAGCUGACAUCAAAGGAGCUGGCAGUCACCAUCACCUCCCUAUCCCCAGUUUACUACACUAGAAACUUCGGGGAAUUUCUCCUUGGGUGAAAUCUGGGACUCUUUUCUUCUUGAGAUGAGUUACCUUUCUUCUAAAAGAAUUCCUUCCCACCUUGUGC